GCCCCAGUAGCACAACAGUUAAGCAUUUGGUUGCUAACCAAAAGGUUGGCAGUUCAAACCCACCCAGUGGCU
Molecule: transfer RNA, 72 nt
Filed under: Loxodonta africana (African savanna elephant)
Lineage: Eukaryota; Metazoa; Chordata; Mammalia; Proboscidea; Elephantidae
Rfam family: tRNA
About the family: Transfer RNA (tRNA) molecules are approximately 80 nucleotides in length. Their secondary structure includes four short double-helical elements and three loops (D, anti-codon, and T loops).
Source: Rfam by way of RNAcentral